RNAcentral lists this long non-coding RNA (939 nucleotides) under Daphnia pulicaria. RNAcentral describes it as "uncharacterized LOC124329117, transcript variant X2". Lineage: Eukaryota; Metazoa; Arthropoda; Branchiopoda; Diplostraca; Daphniidae. The record is from RNAcentral.
AAUCUCUCCAUUUCCAGGGCGGUGCAGUGUAAGAGGGCAUGUUCAGUUGUUUCUGGCUCUUCGCACUCAAGGCAGUUUGGGUUUUCUUGUGGCAUCAGUCUGGCCAUCUGUGCCUUUAGUCUGUUGUGUCCGGUUCUCAGCCUGAAGAGUAUUUGUGUUAUCUUCCUAGACUUGUGCUGGUGCCAUUUGAGGGAUCCGGUAGUGCUUGUAGAUGGCUGUUUGCUCGGAGAUUGAUAAUGGGUUAUUUGAUCUGUUUGAGGAUUCGUUGGAUGAGCUUUCUUGUGAAGCUAUGGUGUCUGCUCUCUCAUUCCCCGGGAUGCCAACAUGGCUUGGGAUCCAACAGAUCCUGGUUUUGGUGAUGCUAGUGCUUUUACUACUGACUUGGAGUCAGUAUAGACGAUUAGUUCCUGGAUGUCUUGAGGGAGAUUGUACACUAUUUCCAUUGCCCUGUGGAUUCCGUAGGCUUCUGCCGUAAGGAUGGAUGAACCCUCAUGAUCCAUCCGUGUACGCUUCUGUUCCGUUUUCUGUCUGGGCCUUAUAUUCUUGAAAGAGCGCCCUGGCUUUCGUCUGGAGGUUGGCUAAUAUUCUUCCGCUGCGGUUGGGAUGGGUGCUUCGUGUGUCCCAUAGGCCAUGUCUUGCGUUGUAGUCGCCGCAGAAUAUGGUGUUGUUGCUGGUCAAUCUAUGCAAUUGGGUCAAUUCAUCCUCGUCGCACGCCUGGCCAUUUGGUCUGGCAGCUGAAGUUGUUUGAACUGGAGGGAUUUGUGAAUUAAUAUUGCCACGCCUCCUCCUACCUGGCCUACGCGAUUUUUAUUUACUGGAUAGUAUUGUUUGAAUUUUACGCUGAAUGAAUCUCUCCAGAACGUUUCGCAUAGUGUGACUAUGUGGGGUUUGUGAAGGUGCAAAUGUGCUUUGAAUUCUAUUAAAUUAGACUUUGUGAGA